UGGGGAAUAUUGCACAAUGGGCGAAAGCCUGAUGCAGCCAUGCCGCGUGUAUGAAGAAGGCCUUCGGGGUGUAAAGUACUUUCAGCGGGGAGGAAGGCGAUAAGGUUAAUAACCUUGUCGAUUGACGUUACCCGCAGAAGAAGCACCGGCUAACUCCGUGCCAGCAGCCGCGGUAAUACGGAGGGUGCAAGCGUUAAUCGGAAUUACUGGGCGUAAAGCGCACGCAGGCGGUCUGUCAAGUCGGAUGUGAAAUCCCCGGGCUCAACCUGGGAACUGCAUUCGAAACUGGCAGGCUAGAGUCUUGUAGAGGGGGGUAGAAUUCCAGGUGUAGCGGUGAAAUGCGUAGAGAUCUGGAGGAAUACCGGUGGCGAAGGCGGCCCCCUGGACAAAGACUGACGCUCAGGUGCGAAAGCGUGGGGAGCAAACA
RNAcentral lists this ribosomal RNA (427 nucleotides) under uncultured bacterium. RNAcentral's name for it is "partial 16S ribosomal RNA". It matches the Rfam family "Bacterial small subunit ribosomal RNA", at positions 355 to 774 of the family's 1533-position model. The record is from RNAcentral.